RNAcentral lists this unclassified non-coding RNA (340 nucleotides) under fungal sp. RNAcentral describes it as "partial internal transcribed spacer region". The stretch from base 1 to 46 matches the Rfam family "Eukaryotic small subunit ribosomal RNA", at positions 1786 to 1831 of the family's 1831-position model. Lineage: Eukaryota; Fungi. The record is from RNAcentral.
AAGUCGUAACAAGGUCUCCGUUGGUGAACCAGCGGAAGGAUCAUUAACACGAACUAUUUUACCCCAACAUCAACCAAACGUGAACCUUAAAAUUCUCCCUAUAUUCUAUUAUAGAGAUAUAAUUGGAAUCUAGGCUAACAGUUCUUUUUCUCUCGAGAAAGAGGGCAACUCUUUAAACUUUUCAACCACUUGUAAACUUAACUUCCAGUUUGCGGCCGAAAGGCGGAACUCAUACUAACACUAAGUAAUCAAUUGGAACGUGCACAGCGCGUUUCUUUUUUGUUUACUUUGAUCUUAUGAAAUAUAAGAACAACUCUUAACAAUGGAUAUCUUGGUUCUC